CGCUAGAAAGCUAGCCCACACACCCAAAAACAACAAAUCACUGUUUAUACCCCCAAACAAAUUAGUUAACCAAUCAACAAAUCAUUUUUCCCCCUUAGUAUAGGCGAUAGAAAAGGAACACAGGAGCUAUAGAAAAAGUACCGCAAGGGAAAGCUGAAAUAGAAAUGAAACAACCCAGCCAAGCACAAAACAGCAGAGAUUCUAACUCGUACCUUUUGCAUCAUGAAUUAGCUAGUAAAAUUCAAGCAAAGUGCACUUUAGUUUGCCUUCCCGAAACUAAGUGAGCUACUCCAAGAUAGCCUAGUAAUAGGGCGAACCCGUCUCUGUGGCAAAAGAGUGGGAAAAGCUUCGAGUAGUGGUGACAGACCUAUCGAACUUAGUUAUAGCUGGUUGCCUGAGACCUGGAUAGAAGUUCAGCCUCCCCGCUUCUCCCCUCACACCUAAUCUUAGCCUUUAGACACCUUAAAGAAACGAGGAGAGUUAGUUAAAGGGGGUACAGCCCCUUUAACAUAAGAUACAACUUUUUUAGCAGGGAAAAGAUCAUAAUUUAAACAAGGAACAAUGUCUUGGUGGGCCUAAAAGCAGCCAUCCUUACAGAAAGCGUUAAAGCUCAGACAUACCCCUCCCUCCCCCUAUUCUGAUUACUUAAUCUUAACCCCCUGAUCCCUAUCAGGCCCUUCUAUGCUAACAUAGAAGAGAUCAUGCUAGUAUGAGUAAUAAGAGAGCACUUAGACUCUCUCCUCGCAUAAGUGUAAAUCGGAAUGGACAACCCACCGAACCUUAACGGCCCCAAACAAAGAGGGUAAUGGAUAAUAAACCAAACAACCAGAAAACCAUCCAACUAAGCCUAACCGUUAACCCUACACUGGUAUGCUUUCAAGGAAAGACUAAAAGAAAGAAAAGGAACUCGGCAAACACAUCAAGCCUCGCCUGUUUACCAAAAACAUCGCCUCUUGCAAAAUUAACGAAUAAGAGGUCCCGCCUGCCCUGUGACUAUAUGUUUAACGGCCGCGGUAUUUUGACCGUGCAAAGGUAGCGCAAUCACUUGUCUUUUAAAUGGAGACCCGUAUGAAUGGCAAAACGAGGGCUUAGCUGUCUCUUCUUUCAAGUCAAUGAAAUUGAUCUCCCCGUGCAGAAGCGGGGAUGCGUACAUAAGACGAGAAGACCCUGCGGAGCUUUAGGCACCAAGGCAGAAUAUGUAAAGCACCCCAAGCUAACGAUUAAAACAACUUAUAACCUGCCCUAAUGCCUUCGGUUGGGGCGACCGUGGGGAAAUGAAAAACCCCCAUGUGGAAUGGGAGCACAGCUCCUACAAUCAAGAGCCCCCGCUCUAAUCAACAGAACCUCUGACUAACAAGAUCCGGCAAUGCCGAUCAACGGACCAAGUUACCCCAGGGAUAACAGCGCAAUCCCCUUUUAGAGCCCAUAUCGACAAGGGGGUUUACGACCUCGAUGUUGGAUCAGGACAUCCUAAUGGUGCAGCCGCUAUUAAGGGUUCGUUUGUUCAACGAUUAAAGUCCUACGUGAUCUGAGUUCAGACCGGAGUAAUCCAGGUCAGUUUCCAUCUAUGACAUGAUCUUCCCCAGUACGAAAGGAACGGAAAGAUGAAGCCCAUGCUUAAAGCACGCCUCUCUCCUACCUAUUGAUCCCAACUCAAAUAGAUAAAGGAGCAUACACCUUCCCGCUUCCACCGAAGAAAAUGGAAU
Molecule: ribosomal RNA, 1706 nt
Filed under: Centropyge venusta (purplemask angelfish)
Lineage: Eukaryota; Metazoa; Chordata; Actinopteri; Pomacanthidae
Description: 16S ribosomal RNA
Rfam family: Bacterial large subunit ribosomal RNA (bases 84-1608)
Source: RNAcentral